AGCAGCCACCUUUAAAAAAGCGUUUAAGCUUCAUUGUAUUUUAUAAAAAUUUCCACUAAUUUUCUAAAACCCUUUAACCUGUACUGAAUGGUCUUAUGACUUCAUAAGAGCCUAUAUGUUAGAACUAGUAACAAGAAGAAGCCCUUCUCCAAAAUGUAAGCAUGAACCAAAAUGAACUAUUCAUUGGCAUUUAAAGUUAAUAAUCUUCUAGUAGUAACUACUCAAGAAAAACCUACUAUAUUUAACGUCAACCUUACACCAGCACAUUCCUGGAAAGAUUAAAAGACUAGGAAGGAACUCGGCAAACAAAUAACCCCGCCUGUUUACCAAAAACAUCGCCUCCUGAUUUUUAUAGGAGGUCUAGCCUGCCCAGUGACAAAGUUAAACGGCCGCGGUACCCUAACCGUGCAAAGGUAGCGCAAUCACUUGUUCUUUAAAUGAGGACUAGUAUGAACGGCAUCACGAGGGUUAUGCUGUCUCCCUACUUUAUUCAGUGAAACUGAUCUCCCCGUGAAGAGGCGGGGAUAAAAAUAUAAGACGAGAAGACCCCAUGGAGCUUUAAACUCAGUGUCAACUGCCAUAUUUAAAACCUAAUAUUCAAGCAAGUUAUGACUACUAGUUUUCGGUUGGGGUGACCACGGAGUAAAACCUAACCUCCACGAUGAAAGGAAAUAGCAACCUAAAUUAAGAGCUACAGCUCUAAAUAUCAAUAAAUUGACUUAUUGACCCAAUUAAUUGAUCAACGAACCAAGUUACCCUGGGGAUAACAGCGCAAUCCAUUUCAAGAGCUCCUAUCGACAAAUGGGUUUACGACCUCGAUGUUGGAUCAGGGUAUCCCAGUGGCGCAGCCGCUACUAAUGGUUC
RNAcentral lists this ribosomal RNA (864 nucleotides) under Microhyla heymonsi (Taiwan rice frog). RNAcentral describes it as "partial large subunit ribosomal RNA". It matches the Rfam family "Bacterial large subunit ribosomal RNA", at positions 1111 to 2574 of the family's 2925-position model. Lineage: Eukaryota; Metazoa; Chordata; Amphibia; Anura; Microhylidae. The record is from RNAcentral.